GAAGACAUUGUCAGGCGGGAAGUUUGACUGGGGCGGUACAUGUGGAGCCUGGGGCUUAAUUUGACUCAACACGGGAAAACUCACCCGGCCCGGACACCGUAAGGAUUGACAGAUUGAAAGCUCUUUCUCGAUUUGGUGGUUGGUGGUGCAUGGCCGUUCUUAGUUGGUGGAGCGAUUUGUCUGGUUUAUUCCGAUAACGAGCGAGACUAUAGCCUGCUAAAUAGUGACUAGAUUACUGUGUCUGGUCUACUUAGAGGGAUAAGCGGUGUUUAGCCGCACGAGAUUGAGCGAUAACAGGUCUGUGAUGCCCUUAGAUGUCCGGGGCUGCACGCGCGCUACAAUGGAAGAAUCAACUGGCCUAUCCAUUGCCGAAAGGUAUUGGUAAACCGUUGAAACUCUUCUGUGACCGGGAUAGGGAAUUGUAAUUAUUUUCCUUGAACGAAGAAUUCCUACUAAGUGUGAGUCAUCAGCUCACACUGAUUAUAUCCCUGCCAUUUGUACACACCGCCCGUCGCUGUGCGGGGCAGAGCUGUCUCAAGAGGACUGUGGACUACUGUAUUAAGGCCUACGGGUCGCGAUAUAGCGGGAAGCAGUUCAAUCGCAAUGGCUUGAACCGGGUAGAAGUCGUAACAAGGUAUCAGUAGGUGAACCUGCAAAUG
This 659-nucleotide non-coding RNA is filed under the name Angiostrongylus costaricensis. Its description in RNAcentral is "Eukaryotic small subunit ribosomal RNA". It matches the Rfam family "Eukaryotic small subunit ribosomal RNA", at positions 1119 to 1823 of the family's 1831-position model. The record is from Rfam by way of RNAcentral. Lineage: Eukaryota; Metazoa; Nematoda; Chromadorea; Rhabditida; Metastrongylidae.